UACAAGGGAUGCAAGCGUUAUCCGGAAUUAUUGGGCGUAAAGCGUUUGUAGGCGGGCGAGUGUGUUUAAUGUUAAAUCUUAAAGCUCAACUUUGAAAUUGCGUUAAAAACUGCUUGUCUUGAGUAUGGUAGGGGUAAAGGGAAUUCCCAGUGUAGCGGUGAAAUGCGUAGAUAUUGGGAAGAACACUAAACAGCGAAGGCACUUUACUAGGCUAAUACUGACGCUGAGAAACGAAAGGUAAGGUAGCGAAACGGAUUAGAUACCCGUGCAGUCUUACCCGUAAACUAUGGACACUAAACGGUAAAUUUUUAAUUUACUGUUAAAGCUAACGCGUUAAGUGUCCCGCCUGGGGAGUAUGCUUGCAAAAGUGAAACUCAAAGGAAUUGACGGGGGCCCGCACAAGCGGUGGAGCAUGUGGUUUAAUUCGACGGUACACGAAGAACCUUACCAGGAUUUGACAUGCUAGAUAGUUGCUUGAAAGAGUAACGUGCCGUAAGGAAUCUAGACACAGGUGGUGCAUGGCUGUCGUCAGUUCGUGUUGUGAAAUGUUGGGUUAAGUCCCGCAACGAACGCAACCCUUGUCUUUAGUUAUUUUCUAAAGAGACUGCCUGUAAUAAACAGGAGGAAGGUAAGGAUGAGGUCAAGUCAUCAUGCCCCUUAUGUCCUGGGCUACACACGUGCUACAAUGGGAAAGACAAUGAGCUGCAAAUCUGUAAAUUUAAGCAAAUCUCUUAAACUUUCUCGUAGUUCGGAUUGUGGGCUGCAACUCGCCCACAUGAAGUUGGAAUCGCUAGUAAUCGCCAGUCAGCUAUAUGGCGGUGAAUCCGUUCCCGGGCCU
Molecule: ribosomal RNA, 838 nt
Filed under: uncultured bacterium
Lineage: Bacteria
Description: bacterial SSU rRNA
Rfam family: Bacterial small subunit ribosomal RNA
Source: RNAcentral